Long non-coding RNA from Spodoptera frugiperda (fall armyworm), 1805 nucleotides. RefSeq lists it as uncharacterized. Lineage: Eukaryota; Metazoa; Arthropoda; Insecta; Lepidoptera; Noctuidae. The record is from RefSeq and is a predicted model, not a curated record. The transcript is spliced from 3 exons.
CGAAUCUUAUAUAUAAAAUUCUCGUGUCACAAAGUUAGUCUCCAAACUCCUCCGAAACGGCUCGACCGAUUCCUCUGAAAUUUGGUAAGCAUAUUGAGUAGGUCUGAGAAUCGGCUAACAUCUAUUUUUCACACCCCUAAAUAAUAAGGGUGGUCCACCCCUCAAAUUUUUUUUUUCAUUUUUUCGACAAAAUUUUUUUUAUUUAUUUUUUUAUGAUACGAUAUUCAAAAAUACAUACAACCCUAAGUUUUUGCCCUUCUAUCACCAACCCCUAUUUUUUAUUAAUCAUUUUAGUAAUUUAAUUAAUUUUUAAAAUUUUCCGCGCUUUUACUCUGGAUACUCAUUGGCCAGACUAUAUCGGUGUAACUACCCAGUGAACAACGCGGAGUGGGGAUGAGACCGAAGCCGGUCUCCUGUUUCGCGGGCAAAAGCUAGAUGUUUUCAAUAAACAUUAAUGUCAAAUAUUUGUUGUCCAUCCUGUCAAAUACUGUAAAUAAUGAUUGACAUUUAUGUAUAAACUAUUUGAAAAGGGUGAAUAAACAAUUGUCUGUAUUUUUUUUAAAUCUAUUGAAAAUGUUGAAAAGUGCAUUAAGCAUUAAAAGAAAUUCCUCAAAUAUUUAUGCGUGCGUUCAGAAAUAAUGACAAAUUAUCAACAGUUACGCGUGUGUUCAGAAAUUUAUUUUGUGUAAAUUAAAGUUUCUUUUCACGUUUUCGAACAAACGAUGCUCUUUCAAUAUAGUCUAUUGGUGUGAAUGACAUUGACAUUCGUAUUGCGCGUUUUUUAAAAUAUGCAAAAUUAAAUGUAUAUUUUUCAAUAUUUCUGAAAGAUUAUUUUAAUAUUUUUUCGAGUUUUAAAGACUAAGAAGAUUUUUACUUGCUAAUAAGUGUUUGUUAAUCAAGUUGGGAUUUCGUUUUUAACAAUGCUACCAACCAGACGUACAAGCUUAGGCCGCAGAACUCGAAAUACGGCAAGUCAAAGCAAUAUAAGAGCAAAUCAAACUGAUGAGCAACGCGAAGCGCGAAAUGAACUUGAACUGAAUCGAUAUCAAGAUAGAAAUGUUGUGUUUAAUCCCCACAAAGCUGCAUUCAGUUAUAAUGUGGCAAUUGAUUACAGUUCAGAGCAAAUUGUUGCUAUUGGACUAAUGAACAUUGUGUGUCCACAUUGGGAUUGAAAUUCAAAAAUGAAGCCUCUGGAUUGUGUUACGCCAGCGGCCAAGUCAAAUUGACGCCAUUGGUACCGCCACCAGAGCCACUACAUUCAUUGGUUAAUUUUUUGACUCAUAUCUAGCAGUACAAUAAUUGCUUUCAAAUGACAUCAUUUGGGGCAACAAAAGUUAUACGAGACAAUUUUAUGCCUACUUUUAGUAAAUUCAGGGAUUCAAAUAUAUCAUCAAACAGGUUCCUUAUUGCCAGUGCCUGUUGAAGACUAUACAUUUUUGCAAAUAUAUUUUAUGGACAAUUCAGCAAGAGAAGUCGAUCAGCGUUGCGCACACAACAACUCAGUAAAAAGAUCCAUUGUGAUGAACAACUUCAAACAUUUUUCCAUCAAAUCAACACAAUGAAUUAGUUGCAUUAAUCACAAAUGCAUUAGACCGCAUGCCAUCAGAUAAUCACAAAAUUGUCAUCAGAGCCGAUAAGGCGCCUGCAGGAUAAAAUGCUGGACAUUUUAAUGUGCCAACAAUUAAUAAAGAGCGCGCGUGGUAUUUAACUCAGUGUUUACUUAAAAAUGCCAAGUUCUUCAAUAGCGAUUUGUAAAAAUAGUAUUGAAAUUAUUGAAUCCUAUGGAAUAAACACUAUUAUGAAAA